GCCCUUAUAGCUCAGUGGUAGAGCGCUUGACUUGUAAUCAAGAGGUCCGCGGUUCAAUCCCGCGUGGGGGCA
This 72-nucleotide transfer RNA is filed under the name Aspergillus carbonarius ITEM 5010. It matches the Rfam family "tRNA". Rfam says of the family: Transfer RNA (tRNA) molecules are approximately 80 nucleotides in length. Their secondary structure includes four short double-helical elements and three loops (D, anti-codon, and T loops). RNAcentral also lists the same sequence under 2 other names. Lineage: Eukaryota; Fungi; Ascomycota; Eurotiomycetes; Eurotiales; Aspergillaceae. The record is from Rfam by way of RNAcentral.